Long non-coding RNA from Sinocyclocheilus rhinocerous, 334 nucleotides. RefSeq lists it as uncharacterized. Lineage: Eukaryota; Metazoa; Chordata; Actinopteri; Cypriniformes; Cyprinidae. The transcript has 4 exons. The record is from RefSeq and is a predicted model, not a curated record.
CGAGUCGCCGGUUUCCGCCGGAAAAGGUUCCGUCCGGCCCGGUAUCGCUAAUCUGAUCCGGUACAGAACCGGACCGGCACCGAAGCUGUACGAUAAACUCAUGUCCGGUUUUGUCAGCAGGUGCUGCGUCUCGAUGCAGAUGCUCCGGGUGAAAUGAAUAAGGCACCUCAGCCUCUGUCAGGACCCCCAUCUGCCCCGCUUCCCGCGCCCUCCCUGGGCCUGUCCCAGCCCAGUUUUCCUCCUGCUCCUCCGCCGCAGAUGAACCCCACGGCCCAACCCCGACAGUUUGCCUCCGGUCCGAGAGCUUUACCACAACAGGUACUAACACAAACAC